Molecule: ribosomal RNA, 255 nt
Filed under: uncultured bacterium
Lineage: Bacteria
Description: partial small subunit ribosomal RNA
Rfam family: Bacterial small subunit ribosomal RNA
Source: RNAcentral
AGGACGAACGCUGGCGGCGUGCUUAACACAUGCAAGUCGAGCGGAAAGGCCCUUCGGGGUACUCGAGCGGCGAACGGGUGAGUAACACGUGAGCAACCUGCCCUUAGCUCUGGGAUAACUCCGAGAAAAUCGGGGCUAAUACCGGAUAUAGAAGUCGGAAGGCAUCUUCUGACUUGGAAAGUUUUUCGGCCAAGGAUGGGCCCGCGGCCUAUCAGCUUGUGGUGGGGUAAUGGCCUACCAAGGCGACGACGGGUA